AGAGUUUGAUCAUGGCUCAGAAUCAACGCUGGCGGCGUGCCUAACACAUGCAAGUCGCACGAGAAAGGGGCUUCGGCUCUGAGUAAAGUGGCGCACGGGUGAGUAACACGUGAAUGAUCUACCUCCGAGUGGGGAAUAACUGAGAGAAAUCUUAGCUAAUACCGCAUAACACUUACGAGUCAAAGCAGCAAUGCGCUUGGAGAGGAGUUCGCGGCCGAUUAGUUAGUUGGCGGGGUAAUGGCCCACCAAGACGAUGAUCGGUAUCCGGCCUGAGAGGGCGCACGGACACACUGGAACUGAAACACGGUCCAGACUCCUACGGGAGGCAGCAGUGGGGAAUUUUGCGCAAUGGGGGAAACCCUGACGCAGCAACGCCGCGUGGAGGAUGAAAUCCCUUGGGAUGUAAACUCCUUUCGAUAGGGAAGAUUAUGACGGUACCUAUAGAAGAAGCCCCGGCUAACUUCGUGCCAGCAGCCGCGGUAAUACGAGGGGGGCAAGCGUUGUUCGGAAUUAUUGGGCGUAAAGGGCGCGUAGGCGGUUUGACAAGUCUGAUGUGAAAUCUCUGGGCUCAACCCAGAGUCUGCAUUAGAAACUGUCGGGCUUGAGUAUGGGAGAGGUGAGUGGAAUUUCCGGUGUAGCGGUGAAAUGCGUAGAUAUCGGAAGGAACACCUGUGGCGAAAGCGGCUCACUGGACCAUAACUGACGCUGAGGCGCGAAAGCUAGGGGAGCAAACAGGAUUAGAUACCCUAGUAGUCC
This 756-nucleotide ribosomal RNA is filed under the name uncultured bacterium. RNAcentral's name for it is "bacterial SSU rRNA". It matches the Rfam family "Bacterial small subunit ribosomal RNA", at positions 8 to 796 of the family's 1533-position model. The record is from RNAcentral.